GACGAACGCUGGCGGCGUGCCUAAUACAUGCAAGUUGAGCGCUGAAGGUUGGUACUUGUACCGACUGGAUGUGCAGCGAACGGGUGUGUAACGCGUGGGGCAUCUGCCUUUGAGCGGGGGACAACAUUUGGAAACGAAUGCUAAUACCGCAUAAAAACUUUAAACACAAGUUUUAAGUUUGAAAGAUGCAAUUGCAUCACUCAAAGAUGAUCCCGCGUUGUAUUAGCUAGUUGGUGAGGUAAGGCUCACCUAGGCGAUGAUACCUAGCCGACCUGAGAGGGUGGGCGGCCAGAUUGGGAGGGAGACACGGCCCAAACUCCUACGGGAGGCAGCAGUAGGGAAUCUUCGGCAAGGGACGAAAGUCUGACCGAGAAACGCGGCGUGAGUGAGGAGGAUCGUCGGAUCGUAAAACUCUGUUGGUAGAGAAGAACGUUGGUGAGAGUGGAAAGCACAUCAAGUGACGGUAACUACCCAGAAAGGGACGGCUAACUACGUG
RNAcentral lists this ribosomal RNA (496 nucleotides) under uncultured bacterium. RNAcentral's name for it is "partial 16S ribosomal RNA". It matches the Rfam family "Bacterial small subunit ribosomal RNA", at positions 28 to 507 of the family's 1533-position model. The record is from RNAcentral.